RNAcentral lists this ribosomal RNA (467 nucleotides) under uncultured bacterium. Its description in RNAcentral is "partial 16S ribosomal RNA". It matches the Rfam family "Bacterial small subunit ribosomal RNA", at positions 29 to 507 of the family's 1533-position model. The record is from RNAcentral.
ACGAACGCUGGCGGCGUGCUUAACACAUGCAAGUCGAACGGAAAGGCUCUGCUUUUGUGGGGUGCUCGAGUGGCGAACGGGUGAGUAACACGUGAGUAACCUGCCCUUGACUUUGGGAUAACUUCAGGAAACUGGGGCUAAUACCGGAUAGGAGCUCCUGCUGCAUGGUGGGGGUUGGAAAGUUUCGGCGGUUGGGGAUGGACUCGCGGCUUAUCAGCUUGUUGGUGGGGUAGUGGCUUACCAAGGCUUUGACGGGUAGCCGGCCUGAGAGGGUGACCGGCCACAUUGGGACUGAGAUACGGCCCAGACUCCUGCGGGAGGCAGCAGUGGGGAAUAUUGCACAAUGGGCGGAAGCCUGAUGCAGCAACGCCGCGUGCGGGAUGACGGCCUUCGGGUUGUAAACCGCUUUCGCCUGUGACGAAGCGUGAGUAACGGUAAUGGGUAAAGAAGCACCGGCUAACUACGUG